UAAUCAAGUCCGAAACAUACAAAUAUAAAAAAGUAAUUAAAAGAGAUAUAAGCAUACGAGACAUUAAAGGAUAGCGGCUGACAAGAAGCAAGACAAACAUUAAAAGAAGACUUUUGGCCGGACAAAGACAUCUCCCUGGGCUUUGUGAAACAGUUAUGCACCUGGCAGACGUCUCCUGGGGUUACAGCUCUCCAGGAAAGCAGCUGAUGACACACAUAGCAACAAUCCGGGACACUUCCAGGACUCCACAGUCCUAAGAUGGUGCACCAGGAGGUCAAGCUGUGGUUCACAGAGCAGACGUAGGUCACCGCUACGGGAUACCUGAACCCCAUGA
Molecule: long non-coding RNA, 334 nt
Organism: Epinephelus moara (kelp grouper)
Lineage: Eukaryota; Metazoa; Chordata; Actinopteri; Perciformes; Serranidae
Exons: 4
Source: RefSeq, a predicted model, not a curated record